This 747-nucleotide ribosomal RNA is filed under the name uncultured bacterium. Its description in RNAcentral is "bacterial SSU rRNA". It matches the Rfam family "Bacterial small subunit ribosomal RNA", at positions 33 to 762 of the family's 1533-position model. The record is from RNAcentral.
ACGCUGGCGGCGUGCCUAAUACAUGCAAGUCGAGCGAACGGACGAGAAGCUUGCUUCUCUGAUGUUAGCGGCGGACGGGUGAGUAACACGUGGAUAACCUACCUAUAAGACUGGGAUAACUUCGGGAAACCGGAGCUAAUACCGGAUAAUAUUUUGAACCGCAUGGUUCAAAAGUGAAAGACGGUCUUGCUGUCACUUAUAGAUGGAUCCGCGCUGCAUUAGCUAGUUGGUAAGGUAACGGCUUACCAAGGCAACGAUGCAUAGCCGACCUGAGAGGGUGAUCGGCCACACUGGAACUGAGACACGGUCCAGACUCCUACGGGAGGCAGCAGUAGGGAAUCUUCCGCAAUGGGCGAAAGCCUGACGGAGCAACGCCGCGUGAGUGAUGAAGGUCUUCGGAUCGUAAAACUCUGUUAUUAGGGAAGAACAUAUGUGUAAGUAACUGUGCACAUCUUGACGGUACCUAAUCAGAAAGCCACGGCUAACUACGUGCCAGCAGCCGCGGUAAUACGUAGGUGGCAAGCGUUAUCCGGAAUUAUUGGGCGUAAAGCGCGCGUAGGCGGUUUUUUAAGUCUGAUGUGAAAGCCCACGGCUCAACCGUGGAGGGUCAUUGGAAACUGGAAAACUUGAGUGCAGAAGAGGAAAGUGGAAUUCCAUGUGUAGCGGUGAAAUGCGCAGAGAUAUGGAGGAACACCAGUGGCGAAGGCGUCUUUCUGGUCUGUAACUGACGCUGAUGUGCGAAAGCGU